UUCCAGAAUUGGGACUCUUACUGGCAUCCCCUGAAAGGCUCCCCCAGCCCAUUUACCUCAUCAGCCAGGGGCUCCUCAGGCAGGGCGGGGGGCAGGAUAUUUAUAUAUUUAUUUUUGUCUCCAGUGCCUUGCACACAGUAAGCAGAAGAAGGGGCCUGUGAUGAGGAAGUCCCAAAGCAUCUGGAGCUUCUGACCAGUCAGGAGGAUUGCCUGAGGCCAGAAGUUCAAGACCAGCCUGUGCAACAUAAAACCAGGAAAGCCAGAAACCCAACCUACUUUCUCCAUCUCUCAAGGCCUUCCCAGUAGCCAAGACUUCUCUCUCUCGGGGUCUCACAUCCCUUUGGGGACCAGCAUCUCCAGAGGUAAGUGACGGUUU
This 376-nucleotide long non-coding RNA is filed under the name Macaca fascicularis (crab-eating macaque). RNAcentral's name for it is "lncRNA (ENSMFAG00000060797.1)". The record is from RNAcentral. Lineage: Eukaryota; Metazoa; Chordata; Mammalia; Primates; Cercopithecidae.